This 433-nucleotide long non-coding RNA is filed under the name Solanum lycopersicum (tomato). RNAcentral describes it as "long non-coding RNA (SLYC_LNC000704)". Lineage: Eukaryota; Viridiplantae; Streptophyta; Magnoliopsida; Solanales; Solanaceae. The record is from RNAcentral.
AUAUUUCAAAUUUUCACUAAAAUAAUUCAAAAUAAAAAAUCUAAUUUUAUUAAUACAAUAUAAUUUUACGAUGAAAAAAUUGGAUGGAACCCUUGCGCCCUUAACUUCAACCCUGUCUGGCUGGGAAAAAGAAAUGACACAGCUACUCAAGUGAAUUUCAACUUCCAACCUGUGUUACUAAACGGUAAGGUUUCCAUUUCACAAAAGAUAAAUCUUCUCCUUUGUUAUUCACGGCUCAACUCAUAAAAAAUAAUUCAGUUCAUUAUUUACUUGGAUAUUGCUCAGGGACUCAUUACAAAAAAAUGGAGGCAUUCUCGCAGUCAAAAAACAAUUAAUAGGAAUGAGAAAACCUCAAGAAUUGUGUCAAAUGUUUAUUUCCCUCGUCGAAUUUGAUGGACAGAAGAAGCUAGCGAUGGUCCUCUUACUCAUUUCG